GCCUGAAUAGCUCAGUUGGUAGAGCAGCGCAUUCGUAAUGCGAAGGUCAUCGGUUCGAUUCCGGUUUCAGGCA
Molecule: transfer RNA, 73 nt
Filed under: Verrucomicrobia bacterium RIFCSPHIGHO2_12_FULL_41_10
Lineage: Bacteria; Pseudomonadati; Verrucomicrobiota
Also listed under: 2 other names
Description: tRNA-Thr
Rfam family: tRNA
About the family: Transfer RNA (tRNA) molecules are approximately 80 nucleotides in length. Their secondary structure includes four short double-helical elements and three loops (D, anti-codon, and T loops).
Source: RNAcentral